Molecule: long non-coding RNA, 297 nt
Filed under: Salvia miltiorrhiza (redroot sage)
Lineage: Eukaryota; Viridiplantae; Streptophyta; Magnoliopsida; Lamiales; Lamiaceae
Description: long non-coding RNA (SMIL_LNC003291)
Source: RNAcentral
UGUUUAUGGAUAUUCCAGGGAAACGGUAAGCAAUACUUUGUAUCCGACUUUCCUCAACAAGGAAAUCCGCGAUCAAGCAAGAAAGUAGCCCAACUUUCCACUUCGUACAUGACUGACAAAGUUACACCCUUUUUAAUUUUAAGGUGAUCCCGGGCGGUUUAUAAAUAACUCUUCUGUCGGAAUGGGAUCGGGUGUUUUCACGUCUCACCGUAGUGCCCGGUUUGUCUUGAUUUCCGAUUGAUGAACAGGAACUCUUUUUUUGUUUUUGACUGGCUACGUUUGGACCCUUCGCCCGCU